GAUGAAGAACGUAGCGAAAUGCGAUACUUGGUGUGAAUUGCAGAAUCCCGUGAACCAUCGAGUCUUUGAACGCAAGUUGCGCCUCAAGCCAUUAGGUUGAGGGCACGUCUGCCUGGGCGUCACAUAUCGUUGCCUGAUGCCAGUUUCCUCGUGAUGGGUGACUGUGCAGGGCGAAUGAUGGCUUCCCGUGAGCAUUGUUGCCUCAUGGUUGGUUGAAAAUUGAGUCCUUGGUAGGGAGCGCCGUGAUAGAUGGUGGUUGAGUGACAAACGAGACCCAAUCAUGUGAGACCCCUACCGAAUUUGGCCUUCAUGACCCACAUGCGUCUUUGGAACGCUCAUGACGAGACCUCAGGUCAGGCGGGGCUACCCGCUGAGUUUAAGCAUAUCAAAAGCGGAGGA
RNAcentral lists this unclassified non-coding RNA (399 nucleotides) under soil metagenome. RNAcentral's name for it is "partial contains 5.8S ribosomal RNA, internal transcribed spacer 2, and large subunit ribosomal RNA". The stretch from base 1 to 122 matches the Rfam family "5.8S ribosomal RNA", at positions 35 to 154 of the family's 154-position model. The record is from RNAcentral.